UACGUAGGUGGCAAGCGUUGUCCGGAUUUACUGGGCGUAAAGAGCGCGCAGGCGGUCGUUCAAGUCGCGUGUGAAAGCCCCCGGCUCAACUGGGGAGGGUCACGCGAUACUGCUCGACUCGAAGGCAGGAGAGGGAAGUGGAAUUCCCGGUGUAGUGGUGAAAUGCGUAGAUAUCGGGAGGAACACCAGUGGCGAAGGCGACUUCCUGGCCUGUUCUUGACGCUGAGGCGCGAAAGCGAGGGUAGCAAACGGG
RNAcentral lists this ribosomal RNA (253 nucleotides) under uncultured bacterium. RNAcentral's name for it is "partial 16S ribosomal RNA". It matches the Rfam family "Bacterial small subunit ribosomal RNA", at positions 524 to 776 of the family's 1533-position model. The record is from RNAcentral.